This 248-nucleotide long non-coding RNA is filed under the name Setaria viridis. RNAcentral's name for it is "long non-coding RNA (SVIR_LNC009470)". The record is from RNAcentral. Lineage: Eukaryota; Viridiplantae; Streptophyta; Magnoliopsida; Poales; Poaceae.
AAAUAAAGGGGGCGCAGCCCCUGGAGUCCGGAGGAGGCGCCACGGCAGGAGGGGGGCGCGCGCGACCAGGGGGAGGGCCGCGGCUCCCAACCCUAGGCGCCCCAUCUGGGCUGCCCUGUUGGGCCAUCUUCUUAUUCCGCUGGGCCUUCGUUCCUUAACAGCAUGAUGAAGUUUAAUUCUCUCGCACGGGCCCGAGUGAUUGGCCCAACUGGAUGAUCAACUGUAGGCGCCUGAGGUGGAGGAGCAAC